UUACUGUUGAAGAGUCCCAUAAUAGGAUGAAACGGACGUCCAGUGC
RNAcentral lists this non-coding RNA (46 nucleotides) under Schistosoma haematobium. The record is from RNAcentral. Lineage: Eukaryota; Metazoa; Platyhelminthes; Trematoda; Strigeidida; Schistosomatidae.